AAUCCUUCUUCCCUUUGCUUAAUACAUUUGUAUUGUUUUGUAGGCCAUAAAUAAAGGCUGAAGACCAUGCUUAAUCACCAUAGGAGGCUCAGUAAGCUAGAGGAAGCAAAGGAAUCCUAAAAUGGAGAGGAAAGCAUCACUUUCGGAUUGGACUGCAUCACUUCCAGAUUAGAAAACCAAAGUCGGAUACAUUCCGGAUUCUCGCCAACACUCAGUCAAAACCACCAGUGGC
Molecule: long non-coding RNA, 232 nt
Filed under: Vigna radiata
Lineage: Eukaryota; Viridiplantae; Streptophyta; Magnoliopsida; Fabales; Fabaceae
Description: long non-coding RNA (VRAD_LNC010214)
Source: RNAcentral